Molecule: long non-coding RNA, 603 nt
Organism: Mirounga angustirostris (Northern elephant seal)
Lineage: Eukaryota; Metazoa; Chordata; Mammalia; Carnivora; Phocidae
Exons: 3
Source: RefSeq, a predicted model, not a curated record
GGCUUUAAGAGCUGUUAACAAGUCACACAAGGACCUCCCUUGCUCCAGCCUGGAACAGCAGUAUCCUCUCCCUUGGCCUACCCAAAUCAGACCCGGCCUUCAAAGAAGCACCCCAGGUAACAGCCCAUGUAACACCAUUAUAAUGAUUAAAACAUUACCACCUCCAAAAUGAACAAAAGGCCCUCUAUCAUGACCCGGAGCCAUGACGAUAUAUGCACACUGAUGGAGGCGCAUGCACCUAGUACCUUUCAUUACACCUUUCAUCCAAGGAACUCCAAGUGCUUGAUGACAGCCCUGAGACGUAAAGGUGGAGAGCCAGAAACUUGGUGUUUACGGAUCUUGCCUGAAGCCAUGGCCUGCCUUAGGGGCGCCUGGGUGGCUCAGUCGUUAAGCGUCUGCCUUCGGCUCAGGUCAUGAUCCCAGGGUCCCGGGAUCGAGCCCUGCAUCGAGCUCCCUGUUCCACGGGAAGCCUGCUUCUCCCUCUCCCACUCCCCCUGCUUGUGUUCCCUCUCUCGCUGUGUCUCUCUCUGUCAAAUAAAUAAAAUCUUAAAAAAAAAAAAAAAUCUCUUUCUUUUAGAUUGUAGAGAGGGAGAGAAUGAAUGA